Molecule: ribosomal RNA, 253 nt
Filed under: uncultured bacterium
Lineage: Bacteria
Description: partial 16S ribosomal RNA
Rfam family: Bacterial small subunit ribosomal RNA
Source: RNAcentral
UACGUAGGGUGCAAGCGUUGUCCGGAAUUAUUGGGCGUAAAGAGCUCGUAGGCGGUUUGUCGCGUCGGCUGUGAAAACCUGGGGCUCAACCCCGGGCCUGCAGCCGAUACGGGCAGACUAGAAUUCGGUAGGGGAGUCCGGAAUUCCUGGUGUAGCGGUGAAAUGCGCAGAUAUCAGGAGGAACACCGGUGGCGAAGGCGGGACUCUGGGCCGAUAUUGACGCUGAGGAGCGAAAGCGUGGGGAGCGAACAGG